Molecule: transfer RNA, 86 nt
Filed under: Verrucomicrobium sp.
Lineage: Bacteria; Pseudomonadati; Verrucomicrobiota; Verrucomicrobiia; Verrucomicrobiales; Verrucomicrobiaceae
Also listed under: 1 other name
Description: tRNA-Tyr
Rfam family: tRNA
About the family: Transfer RNA (tRNA) molecules are approximately 80 nucleotides in length. Their secondary structure includes four short double-helical elements and three loops (D, anti-codon, and T loops).
Source: RNAcentral
GGGUAGGUGCCGGAGCGGUCAAACGGGGUGGACUGUAAAUCCACUGGCUUACGCCUACGAUGGUUCGAACCCAUCCCUGCCCACCA